Molecule: long non-coding RNA, 264 nt
Filed under: Mytilus galloprovincialis (Mediterranean mussel)
Lineage: Eukaryota; Metazoa; Mollusca; Bivalvia; Mytilida; Mytilidae
Source: RNAcentral
GAACAUUUGUAUAUAAGACACUGAGGUCAAGUCGUCAAUCUUAAACACAAUAUUUAUUAUCUCGGAACGUAUAUGGUGUGUUUUGCUAUUACAAUCUAAUUGGUUUCAUAAUUUGUUACGUCACUCCUGAACCUCAUCAAAUCUUUAAUGUAGACCAAGUUCAGGUGAUUACAAAUAGUUAUCAAUUAAGGAAUUAUAAAUUAUAAGAUUGUUUUAAUUACAACUGUGACACACGAUAGUAUCUGAAGGUAAGUUUUACUGGAU